Molecule: ribosomal RNA, 402 nt
Filed under: uncultured bacterium
Lineage: Bacteria
Description: bacterial SSU rRNA
Rfam family: Bacterial small subunit ribosomal RNA
Source: RNAcentral
AGUGAACGCUGGCGGCAGGCCUAACACAUGCAAGUCGAGCGGCAGCGCGUCCGGCCACCCUCGGGUGGUCGGAUGGCGGCGAGCGGCGGACGGGUGAGGAAUGCAUCGGAAUCUGCCUCGUUGUGGGGGAUAACGUAGGGAAACUUACGCUAAUACCGCAUACGACCUACGGGUGAAGGUGGGGGACCUUCGGGCCUCACGCGAUGAGAUGAGCCGAUGCCGGAUUAGCUAGUUGGCGGGGUAAAGGCCCGACCAACGGCGACGAUCCGUAGCUGGUCUGAGAGGAUGAUCAGCCACACUGGAACUGAGACACGGUCCAGACUCCUACGGGAGGCAGCAGUGGGGAAUAUUGGACAAUGGGGGCGAACCCGUGAUCCAGCCAUGCCGCGUGUGUGAAGAAGG